RNAcentral lists this ribosomal RNA (548 nucleotides) under Glomus sp. C/2-5. RNAcentral's name for it is "SSU rRNA". It matches the Rfam family "Eukaryotic small subunit ribosomal RNA", at positions 548 to 1098 of the family's 1831-position model. The record is from RNAcentral. Lineage: Eukaryota; Fungi; Glomeromycota; Glomeromycetes; Glomerales; Glomeraceae.
UUGGAGGGCAAGUCUGGUGCCAGCAGCCGCGGUAAUUCCAGCUCCAAUAGCGUAUAUUAAAGUUGUUGCAGUUAAAAAGCUCGUAGUUGAAUUUCGGAAUCAAUUUGUUGGUCGUGCCUCGGUACGUACUGGUAUUAUUGGUUUCUACCUUCUGAAGAACCUUGAUGUCAUUAAUUUGGUGUCUUGGGGAAUCAGGACUGUUACUUUGAAAAAAUUAGAGUGUUUAAAGCAAGCAUACGCUUGAAUACAUUAGCAUGGAAUAAUGAAAUAGGACGUUUGAUUCUAUUUUGUUGGUUUCUAGGAUCGACGUAAUGAUUAAUAGGGAUAGUUGGGGGCAUUAGUAUUCAAUUGUCAGAGGUGAAAUUCUUGGAUUUAUUGAAGACUAACUACUGCGAAAGCAUUUGCCAAGGAUGUUUUCAUUAAUCAAGAACGAAAGUUAGGGGAUCGAAGACGAUCAGAUACCGUCGUAGUCUUAACCAUAAACUACGCCGACUAGGGAUCGGAUGAUGUUAAUUUUUUAAUGACUCAUUCGGCGCCUUACGGGAAAC